UAUAAAUGCUUAAAAUAUACUUGCAAUAUUUAGAUCAAAAUACAUACCUUGUCUACUAGUAAAAAAUCUACUUGAUGAUCCAUUUGAAGAUCAACUUGAACCUCUAUCCAAUGCUCCAUCAAAAACUUUAAAUUCAACCUUCUUGUCUUCUUAUGCUAUCAAUUCCAAAUAACCAAAAAUAUAAUCCAACACCUUCUACUCCAAACCUUCACAUUGGAUUCACCACUUAUAUUGUAAUAUAUAUUGUCUUGUUUGAAAAUGCAACAGGCACCUGGCUAUAGAAGGUGAAGUUAUGUUUUAUAAAUAUCCAAGAAAUUCUAAUAGGUUUUAUCCAUAUUAGAAGAAUGAAACUCGAAUUUUAAUUCAAAAGUGCUUAAAGCUAAUACAAAGUACUCAAACACACUCUUCUUAGUAACCUUAAUCAUGCAUAAACUUCAAUUGCCUUAUUGCUUUUAUAAUUAGGUAAUUUUGAUUUUUCUUAGUAAAUCCUAAUUCUAAUUAAUGAGCUUUGGCAAGUUGUAAAUUUUUAUCUGACUAAUUAUUUGAUACCAAAUUUUGUAUACAAAUGCCAGUAUAAGUCUUUUAUAUGCUUAAAAAAUUUCAAUCCAAUCUAACUUACAAAAGUUGAGAAAAAGUCCAAAAAUUGCAUUGAUGUUA
This 657-nucleotide long non-coding RNA is filed under the name Physcomitrium patens. RNAcentral describes it as "long non-coding RNA (PPAT_LNC003503)". The record is from RNAcentral. Lineage: Eukaryota; Viridiplantae; Streptophyta; Bryopsida; Funariales; Funariaceae.